GGACAGCGUGGUCAGAAUGGUGGACGAGGACGUAAUGGAGAGAAUGGUCCUGGAUUUGGUGGCCCAAGAAAUCCUGGCCAGAAUGGUCCCAGAUCUGGUGGUGGCCGAG
This is a non-coding RNA of Pogona vitticeps (central bearded dragon), 109 nucleotides long. NCBI's taxonomy places the organism in Eukaryota, Metazoa, Chordata, Lepidosauria, Squamata, Agamidae. The record is from RefSeq and is a predicted model, not a curated record.